Molecule: ribosomal RNA, 496 nt
Filed under: uncultured bacterium
Lineage: Bacteria
Description: partial 16S ribosomal RNA
Rfam family: Bacterial small subunit ribosomal RNA
Source: RNAcentral
GAUGAACGCUGGCGGCGUGCCUAAUACAUGCAAGUCGAGCGAACAGACGAGGAGCUUGCUCCUCUGACGUUAGCGGCGGACGGGUGAGUAACACGUGGAUAACCUACCUAUAAGACUGGGAUAACUUCGGGAAACCGGAGCUAAUACCGGAUAAUAUAUUGAACCGCAUGGUUCAAUAGUGAAAGACGGUUUUGCUGUCACUUAUAGAUGGAUCCGCGCCGCAUUAGCUAGUUGGUAAGGUAACGGCUUACCAAGGCAACGAUGCGUAGCCGACCUGAGAGGGUGGUGGGCCACCCAGGAAAUGGGACACGGUCCAACCCCCUGGGGGGGGCAGCGGUGGGGAAUCUUCCGCAAUGGGCGAAAGCCUGACGGGGCAACGCCGGGGGAGGGAUGAGGGUUUUCGGGUCGUAAAACUUUGUUUUUGGGGAAAAAAAAAUGUGUAAGUAACUAUGCACGUUUGAACGGUACCAAAUCAGAAAGCCCCGGCUAACUACGU